AUGACGAACGCUGGCGGCGUGCCUAAUACAUGCAAGUCGAGCGAGUCUGCCUUGAAGAUCGGAGUGCUUGCACUCUGUGAAACAAGAUACAGGCUAGCGGCGGACGGGUGAGUAACACGUGGGUAACCUGCCCAAGAGAUCGGGAUAACACCUGGAAACAGAUGCUAAUACCGGAUAACAACAGAUGAUGCCUAUCAACUGUUUAAAAGAUGGUUCUGCUAUCACUCUUGGAUGGACCUGCGGUGCAUUAGCUAGUUGGUAGGGUAACGGCCUACCAAGGCGAUGAUGCAUAGCCGAGUUGAGAGACUGAUCGGCCACAUUGGGACUGAGACACGGCCCAAACUCCUACGGGAGGCAGCAGUAGGGAAUCUUCCACAAUGGACGCAAGUCUGAUGGAGCAACGCCGCGUGAGUGAAGAAGGCUUUCGGGUCGUAAAACUCUGUUGUUGGAGAAGAAUGGUCGGCAGAGUAACUGUUGUCGGCGUGACGGUACCGGAAUAGAAAGCCACGGCUAACUACGUGCCAGCAGCCGCGGUAAUACGUAGGUGGCAAGCGUUGUCCGGAAUUAUUGGGCGUAAAGCGAGCGCAGGCGGUUUUUUAAGUCUGAUGUGAAAGCCCUCGGCUUAACCGAGGAAGUGCAUCGGAAACUGGGAAACUUGAGUGCAGAAGAGGACAGUGGAACUCCAUGUGUAGCGGUGAAAUGCGUAGAGAUCUGGAGGAAUACCGGUGGCGAAGGCGGCCCCCUGGACAAAGACUGACGCUCAGGUGCGAAAGCGUGGGGAGCAAACAGGAUUAGAUACCCUGGUAGUCCAUGCCGUAAACGAUGAAUGCUAGGUGUUGGAGGGUUUCCGCCCUUCAGUGCCGCAGCUAACGCAUUAAGCAUUCCGCCUGGGGAGUACGACCGCAAGGUUGAAACUCAAAGGAAUUGACGGGGGCCCGCACAAGCGGUGGAGCAUGUGGUUUAAUUCGAUGCAACGCGAAGAACCUUACCUGGUCUUGACAUCCACGGAAGUUUUCAGAGAUGAGAAUGUGCCUUCGGGAACCGUGAGACAGGUGCUGCAUGGCUGUCGUCAGCUCGUGUUGUGAAAUGUUGGGUUAAGUCCCGCAACGAGCGCAACCCUUAUCCUUUGUUGCCAGCGGUCCGGCCGGGAACUCAAAGGAGACUGCCAGUGAUAAACUGGAGGAAGGUGGGGAUGACGUCAAGUCAUCAUGGCCCUUACGACCAGGGCUACACACGUGCUACAAUGGCGCAUACAAAGAGAAGCGACCUCGCGAGAGCAAGCGGACCUCAUAAAGUGCGUCGUAGUCCGGAUUGGAGUCUGCAACUCGACUCCAUGAAGUCGGAAUCGCUAGUAAUCGUGGAUCAGAAUGCCACGGUGAAUACGUUCCCGGGCCUUGUACACACCGCCCGUCACACCAUGGGAGUGGGUUGCAAAAGAAGUAGGUAGCUUAACCUUCGGGAGGGCGCUUACCACUUUGUGAUUCAUGACUG
Molecule: ribosomal RNA, 1491 nt
Filed under: human gut metagenome
Description: bacterial SSU rRNA
Rfam family: Bacterial small subunit ribosomal RNA
Source: RNAcentral